GAAAUUAGUAUUACAAAUACAGAAUAAGGAUUUUAUUCAUCACAUUCAUCUAGCACCUACACAUUUCCACAUCCAUCUUACUCUUAAAUAAAUUGAUGGUGUUGGAAACACUCAUCAUAUGCCAACCAUCCCACUAAACACUCAUCAUAUGCCAACUAUCCCACUAAACACUCAUCAUUUCACUAAACACUCAUUAUUCCACACACUCAUCAUUCCACUAAACACUCUUUACACCUUCUUUUGCCAGCCAUCUUCUACACUUUAACAUCUCAACAUGCAAUUAGCUUUUAUUUAAUCAAAAUCAGCAACCAACAUUCCUCCCAUUCCUCCUAACAUUCUGAUCCAAGCUAUACGUUCUUAUGCUUGAAUUAUAAUUCACUGAUUCCAGCUUUCCAAAUCAGUUUCCAAGAUUUCCCAAAACAAGAAAGAGGUAAUAAACGUCCAUUAAUUCUUCCAAUUCUUUCAUAGUUUUCAGAUCCAAAAUUUCAUUGUUAAGCUUGGCUGAAUAAAUUCGCAGAUCCAAUUUUGGUGAAUUCAGAAAGAAGAUUUUCCUCAUUUCCUACUCAUAUCAAGGUCCGGGCGACAGAAAGUGAAGCAGAAGAAGAAACGAUUCCACGCCAACUUUAAGAACAAUUGAGGUUGAGCAGGCGAUGGAAUGGAUUGGUGUUGAGCGGAUUUUCCUUUUGAUGUUUAUGUAAUGAAACCUUGAGUAUGCAUCUCCAUAUGCAUAACUCACACGUUUUUCCGCUGCAAACACUCUGAAUUUGUUAUCGUAUUGUGGAACUUAUUACUCCUUCAUUUUGUUUAACUUUCAUUUGGGGUUUAGUCGUUAUGGCUGGCUCAUUUGUUAAUUACCUAAGUGGUUAUAUAUAUAUAUAUACCACUAGUUUGUUGUUA
This is a long non-coding RNA of Salvia miltiorrhiza (redroot sage), 897 nucleotides long. RefSeq lists it as uncharacterized. The transcript has 3 exons. Lineage: Eukaryota; Viridiplantae; Streptophyta; Magnoliopsida; Lamiales; Lamiaceae. The record is from RefSeq and is a predicted model, not a curated record.